RNAcentral lists this ribosomal RNA (274 nucleotides) under uncultured bacterium. Its description in RNAcentral is "partial 16S ribosomal RNA". It matches the Rfam family "Bacterial small subunit ribosomal RNA", at positions 523 to 796 of the family's 1533-position model. The record is from RNAcentral.
AUACGGAGGGUGCAAGCGUUAAUCGGAAUUACUGGGCGUAAAGCGCGCGUAGGCGGCUUGAUAAGUCGGAUGUGAAAUCCCCGGGCUUAACCUGGGAAUUGCAUUCGAUACUGUCGGGCUAGAGUGUGGUAGAGGGAAGUGGAAUUUCCGGUGUAGCGGUGAAAUGCGUAGAUAUCGGAAAGAACAUCAGUGGCGAAGGCGGCUUCCUGGAUCAACACUGACGCUGAGGUGCGAAAGCGUGGGGAGCAAACAGGAUUAGAAACCCCAGUAGUCC